GAUGAACGCUGGCGGCGUGCCUAAUACAUGCAAGUCGAGCGAACAGAUGAGGAGCUUGCUCCUCUGACAUUAGCGGCGGACGUGUGAGUAACUCGUGGAUAACCUACCUAUAAGACUGGGAUAACUUCGUGAAACCGCAUCUAAUCCCGGAUAAUAUAUUGAACCGCAUGGUUCAAUAGUGAAAGACGGUUUUGCUGUCACUUAUAGAUGGAUCCGCGCCGCAUUAGCUAGUUGGUAAGGUAACGGCUUACCAAGGCGACGAUGCGUAGCCGACCUGAGAGGAUGAUCGGCCACACUGGAACUGAGACACGGUCCAGACUCCUACGGGAGGCAGCAGUAGGGAAUCUUCGACAAUGGGCGAAAGCUUGACGGAGCAACGCCGCGUGAGUGAUGAAGGUCUUCGGAUCGUAAAACGCUGUUAUUAGGGAAGAACAAAUGUGUAAGUAACUAUGCAAGUCUUGACGGUACCUAAUCAGAAAGCAACGGCUAACUACGUG
RNAcentral lists this ribosomal RNA (497 nucleotides) under uncultured bacterium. Its description in RNAcentral is "partial 16S ribosomal RNA". It matches the Rfam family "Bacterial small subunit ribosomal RNA", at positions 28 to 507 of the family's 1533-position model. The record is from RNAcentral.